GCCGGAUUGGCGGAAUGGCAGACGCGGAGCACUCAAAAUGCUUUGUUCGUAAGGACGUGCGGGUUCGAGUCCCGCAUCCGGCA
RNAcentral lists this transfer RNA (83 nucleotides) under Salinibacterium sp. It matches the Rfam family "tRNA". Rfam says of the family: Transfer RNA (tRNA) molecules are approximately 80 nucleotides in length. Their secondary structure includes four short double-helical elements and three loops (D, anti-codon, and T loops). Lineage: Bacteria; Bacillati; Actinomycetota; Actinomycetes; Micrococcales; Microbacteriaceae. The record is from Rfam by way of RNAcentral.